Molecule: ribosomal RNA, 274 nt
Filed under: uncultured bacterium
Lineage: Bacteria
Description: partial 16S ribosomal RNA
Rfam family: Bacterial small subunit ribosomal RNA
Source: RNAcentral
AUACGGAGGGUGCAAGCGUUGUUCGGAAUUACUGGGCGUAAAGCGCGCGUAGGCGGUCUGUGAUGUCAGAUGUGAAAGUCCUCGGCUCAACCGGGGAAGUGCAUUUGAAACUGGCAGACUUGAGUACUGGAGGGGGGGGUGGAAUUCCCGGUGUAGAGGUGAAAUUCGUAGAUAUCGGGAGGAAUACCGGUGGCGAAGGCGACCACCUGGCCCGAUACUGACGCUGAGGUGCGAAAGCGUGGGGAGCAAACAGGAUUAGAAACCCUAGUAGUCC